UGAUCUCUCUAUCAAAAAAUCAUUAGCUGAUACACAAUAUUAAGCACACUGCAGUACAUUCAUGGAGAAGAAUAUCUUUACAAUUAAAAAACCUAAACGUCACGCAGCACUAAAAUAGUUCUUCUAGGUUCAAUAAAUAUUGCCAAACAUUGUCAACAAUUAUACUAACUUUACAUAAACCUUUGUGGAGACCUCUCCUGAUUUUGGUGUCCCUGUAUUUUAAACUUCAAUAUACAGCCUACUGGACCAUUAUAAGCUUCAACUGUUUCCUGCUAAUCAUUUUGGGUCAAAAGAGGCACUAGACUUUUGUAGGCAAUUUUAACGUGGUCAUCAUUUUUUGUCUUCGUCACCUUCUAAAUUUUUAGGAGACUGCUUGGCCAAUUCUAUAUUACAACGCUGGUCUUUGUUCUCUGCAUUUCUCUCUUUAUGGUGAUCAAGUGUAGUUUGUUCAAAAUCUUUAGGUAACCGCUCAGACAAAUCUGUAUCGGAACAUAGGUCUUCAUUUUCUGUUUUUCUUUCCUCAUGGUAAUCCUUGGGGGAGGCCGGGUCUUUCAUAUCCUUCUCCGCAUGCUGAUCCUUGACCGAGGUUAUAUCUCUCAUAUCCUUAUCCUCAUGGUGAUCAUCAAGUGUAGUUUGUUCUAACUUUUUAGGAGACUGCUCAGACAAAUCUAUAUUAGAACAUUGAUCUUCCUCAUCUGUUUUUCUCUCCUCAUGGUGAUUCUUCAGCGAAGUUGUGUCUUUCAAAUCCUUCUCCUCAUGGUGAUCCUCGAGUGAGGUUGUGUCUUUCAAAUCCUUCUCCUCAUGGUGAUCCUCGAGUGAGGUUGUGUCUUUCAAAUCCUUCUCCUCAUGGUGAUCCUCGAGUGAG
This 865-nucleotide unclassified non-coding RNA is filed under the name Hevea brasiliensis (rubber tree). Lineage: Eukaryota; Viridiplantae; Streptophyta; Magnoliopsida; Malpighiales; Euphorbiaceae. The record is from RNAcentral.